UACGUAGGGAGCAAGCGUUGUCCGGAAUCAUUGGGCGUAAAGCGCGCGUAGGCGGCCCUGUAAGUCCGUUGUGAAAGUCAAAGGCUCAACCUUUGAAAGCCGAUGGAUACUGCAGGGCUAGAGUCCGGAAGAAGCGAGUGGAAUUCCUGGUGUAGCGGUGGAAUGCGCAGAUAUCAGGAGGAACACCCAUAGCGAAGGCAGCUCGCUGGGACGGUACUGACGCUAAGGCGCGAAAGCGUGGGGAGCGAACAGG
Molecule: ribosomal RNA, 253 nt
Filed under: uncultured bacterium
Lineage: Bacteria
Description: partial 16S ribosomal RNA
Rfam family: Bacterial small subunit ribosomal RNA
Source: RNAcentral